AUACUUCCCUGGCAGGGCAGAUACCAUGAUCUUAAAGGCAGUUUUCCCAGGGCACGGCUUAUCCAUAUCCAUUACACUCUGGAUCCAUUAUAGGGAUGUGCGGAUCCCUGGAAUUGCCCCACAUGUGGGAAGCUCUACUGCAGAAUUUGUGGUAGUGAGUGACUGCAUUGUGCAUUCAUGUA
Molecule: small nuclear RNA, 182 nt
Organism: Cercocebus atys (sooty mangabey)
Lineage: Eukaryota; Metazoa; Chordata; Mammalia; Primates; Cercopithecidae
Gene: U1
Rfam family: U1 spliceosomal RNA
About the family: U1 is a small nuclear RNA (snRNA) component of the spliceosome (involved in pre-mRNA splicing). Its 5' end forms complementary base pairs with the 5' splice junction, thus defining the 5' donor site of an intron. There are significant differences in sequence and secondary structure between metazoan and yeast U1 snRNAs, the latter being much longer (568 nucleotides as compared to 164 nucleotides in human).
Source: Ensembl